This 301-nucleotide ribosomal RNA is filed under the name uncultured bacterium. RNAcentral's name for it is "partial 16S ribosomal RNA". It matches the Rfam family "Bacterial small subunit ribosomal RNA", at positions 509 to 808 of the family's 1533-position model. The record is from RNAcentral.
CAGUCGCCGCGGGAAUACGUAGGGGGCAAGCGUUGUCCGGAAUUAUUGGGCGUAAAGCGCGCGCAGGCGGUCAUUUAAGUCUGGUGUUUAAUCCCGGGGCUCAACCCCGGAUCGCACUGGAAACUGGGUGACUUGAGUGCAGAAGAGGAGAGUGGAAUUCCACGUGUAGCGGUGAAAUGCGUAGAUAUGUGGAGGAACACCAGUGGCGAAGGCGACUCUCUGGGCUGUAACUGACGCUGAGGCGCGAAAGCGUGGGGAGCAAACAGGAUUAGAUACCCCAGUAGUCCCUGUCUCUUAUACA